CAUAUCUCCUGAUCGGACUCGAAAAGAAUUCAAAUGGGCAGUAAAAAAGAAAAGAAAAGCAGAAGGUAGCCCACUGCAAAAGGAGCACAAAAUGGGGACGCCCUAAAAUUAUGGAAAAGUUCUCCAGUUAUUAUCUUUAAGAAUCAUUAGCCAUAGGGAAGUGUGAAAGUGAAAAGCUAGCCAAUAGUAAACAUGAUGUUAAUCCUCCAUUGAAGGCACCUUAACUCGAACUAGGUCUAUUCUAUAGUUUGUAUAACUGUGUCCUUGUGUUCUACCACACGUUUGAGGUCCCACAUCAGUUGGAGAGGAGAAUGAAGCUGCGUUUUAAAAACCUCUCCCUUAUAAGGGUGUGAAAACCUCUCUAUAGCAAACAUGUUAGGAAAACCCAGGACAAUAUCUGCUAGCGGUGGGCUUAGGUUGUUACUCAACUAGUGUUAAGAC
This is a long non-coding RNA of Cucurbita maxima (winter squash), 441 nucleotides long. RefSeq lists it as uncharacterized. Lineage: Eukaryota; Viridiplantae; Streptophyta; Magnoliopsida; Cucurbitales; Cucurbitaceae. The record is from RefSeq and is a predicted model, not a curated record. The transcript has 3 exons.